GUUAAAACGAGGGAAGAAGCCACAAGUCCCAGUGCGCAGAUAGUGCCCACAGUGAUGGAAGAGGAGGUCAGGAGACGAAAGGGAAGGAAGGCAAGCAGCCGUCCUGGGCUCCGAGGCAGCUCAGGGGUUCUUUGAAGGCAGUUUGUGUUGGGGGAAGAAUGACACAGUGCUGGCAUUUACCAAGAAGUAAUGGUGGAAAUACACUGUGCCGGUUCCAGGACUGAGCCUUGAGAAGCCAGGCAGGUUCUGCUCUCUGAGGAGCCCUUUGCCACCAUGUGGUGACUCUUUGUCCCAGUUUGCCGUGGAAUGAAGGGUCUUCUGGGAUACGAGACUUUCAGUGCUAAAACCAGGAGAGUCUUGGGUACACCUGGAUGAGCUGGUCACCCUACUUCCAACAUCAGAGGGAAGUAAAGAGAAACUUGGUUGCUCGCUUGGUCAACAUUCAGGAGAAAACACUGCUGAGAAGCCAGGAAUUGGAGUCAGCUUCCACUUAGCUCUACAUUGGGGUUGUCAACAAAAAUAAUCCAUAACCAAUCUAUAAAUGAAAAUUUGGGAGAGUUUAUUCUGAGCUUAAAUCUGAGGAUUAUAACCCGGGGCCUUUCUUCCCUAAGGAAGAAAGGACACCAAAGAAGUGGGGUGCACAG
Molecule: long non-coding RNA, 644 nt
Filed under: Equus caballus (horse)
Lineage: Eukaryota; Metazoa; Chordata; Mammalia; Perissodactyla; Equidae
Description: lncRNA (ENSECAG00000052495.1)
Source: RNAcentral